UGCGGAGCUACCAUGCAGUCGAGCGAGACCUUCGGGUCUAGCGGCGGACGGGUUAGUAACGCGUGGGAACGUGCCCUUCUCUGCGGAAUAGCCACUGGAAACGGUGAGUAAUACCGCAUACGCCCUUCGGGGGAAAGAUUUAUCGGAGAAGGAUCGGCCCGCGUUAGAUUAGAUAGUUGGUGGGGUAACGGCCUACCAAGUCUACGAUCUAUAGCUGGUUUUAGAGGAUGAUCAGCAACACUGGGACUGAGACACGGCCCAGACUCCUACGGGAGGCAGCAGUGGGGAAUCUUAGACAAUGGGCGCAAGCCUGAUCUAGCCAUGCCGCGUGUGUGAUGAAGGUCUUAGGAUCGUAAAGCACUUUCGCCAGGGAUGAUAAUGACAGUACCUGGUAAAGAAACCCCGGCUAACUCCGUGCCAGCAGCCGCGGUAA
RNAcentral lists this ribosomal RNA (433 nucleotides) under uncultured Sulfitobacter sp. Its description in RNAcentral is "bacterial SSU rRNA". It matches the Rfam family "Bacterial small subunit ribosomal RNA", at positions 45 to 523 of the family's 1533-position model. Lineage: Bacteria; Pseudomonadati; Pseudomonadota; Alphaproteobacteria; Rhodobacterales; Roseobacteraceae. The record is from RNAcentral.